UGCAAUAUUUCAGAUCAAUAAGAUUGACUGCUAUGUUGUCGUUCAGGAAGGGGAAAAAAAAAUCCCUCUUCACACCGUAAUCUUUCCGAUUAGAGCCGCAGCAAAGCAAGACAGUCCAUACACCACCAUAAAAAUAUUAGUAUGUCCCAAGCAACCACCUCGUCAAAAACAAUUACAGAAAACGUCGUCGCCCAUCGACGACCGCAGGGAACGUCGAAGCACAACCCAGGCUGCCUGGAACCUGCCGACGAGGCACACCCUGCCACCUCGAGCCAUUCCCUUAAGCCAACGUCGGAAUCUUCUUCCUCUUCGCGUUGGUCCCUCGGUUUGACAGUUCUCUCUUUCUAAACUUUUUUUCCGUGUCUCACCGUCACUUUCAGAGGAGUCUUCUAUUCUCCGCCGCCGGAGUCCACUCACCUCCACCACCGCACCUCACCUUCUCUCUCAUCCCAAAUCUCCCCGUUGCACCAUCCUCUAAUUCCCUGGUAAGCCUCUGCUUGUUUAUAUUGUCUUCUUUUGAGCCUGGAAAAAUAUAGUUACAAACAUAGUUGUGUACUAAUCUGUGCACCAAUGUGAUAUGAUUGGUCAAAAAGUAAAUUUUAUUGAAAACAGUGUUAAUUUAAAUUUUAAGUAUGAAUAAAUCAGUAUUGGUACAUAGAUUAGUACGCAACUAUACUUGUAUGUAGCAAAACUCUUUAAGCCUUCCCCAAAAAAGUACAUGCUUAUUUUUUGAUAUUACAUAAACAAUAUCCUCCAACCCACCCACUGCUCAAUGAGUGCUCAUGGCCUUUCCGUAAAAUCCCUCUUGAAGGAACUUUUUGUUUAAUUACAUUUCUGCCCUUGCUUAAGUGCCCGUGACAGAUUUUGUGUUAUAACUUUGUUCAGUACGUGGGCUGAUUUCUCAUGUAAAAGCCCGUUAUCCUUUAUAUGAACUUAAUUUAAUUGAAUAAAUAUAUUACCUAUAAGUAUUAAAUUAUAAUUAAAAUUAUUUUAAUAAUUAUAUCACAUUAGUAAUUAUUGAAUUCAGUAUAUACAUAGCUUAAUAUUUUACUAGAUUAAAGUUUAUGAUAUGUGUUCGAUUGGGUAGAAUGCUACGACACAUUUUUAAAAUAAUUUAUUAACAUUUAAUAUCUCGUAUAGGUAACGAACUACGUAGUAGAAUCCAAUAAUUAGCAGUGAUAAGAAGUAAGUAGCAUGCUCAUAAUUUUAUGUAUUGUAAAUAUUUUAUUUUUGCAUGACAAAUGUGAGGUCUAAUUAUUAUGGUAGAUCAUAAAAUGAGGAUGAGGAUGAGGAAGUCUCUAAAGAGGUUGAUGAUUCGAUGUGUUGUUGUCUUGUUUCUUGUUGUUGGGAAGGGAGUCCAUUGAAAUAUUUUAUGUACUAUAGAAAUCACUUUUGAUGGCAUAUUCCAUUAUUUCUUGCAAAUUGAGGCACAUGGUGGACAAGUCCUGACUUUUUCAGGAGAAAUGUUUCCAAACAAGCCGAGGUUGAAUCAAUGGUUGAAAUUGAAUUACUUUUGGUACUUUAUUAAAGAGGAUGAAGAAAUCUUAGUGGCAGGAGGUUCUUGAUUUGAAUCUCACAGGGGUAUAUCUCUAUUAUCUUUUGCAUAUUUCUUAUUUCUUUAACUCGAUAUUUCCUUUUUUUUUUUAACAUGACCCUUCUUGCUAAACGAGGGAUAUGGUAAGCAAGAGUUUAUCUCAAGCAGGGUUGUCAAAAAAUAGUGUGGGAUGGGAAGACAAUCAAUAUUUGACAUGAUCCAUGGGUUCCAAGUUAUAGAAAUUUGCAUCUUGAUCCUAUUGUGGAGUUGCAGAGUGAAUUACUAGAAACAGUGGAUUCUCUCAUCAAUUUGGAAACAAUAUGGUGGGAUAUUAAUAAAGUAAGGGCUCUCUUCAAUUCAAGGAUAGCUUGAAAAAUUUUGAAGAUUAUCAUAUGUCCAAUGGGUUAGGAAGAUUAGUGAAUCUGGUUUGCAAAAAGAAGUGGUGAAUUCAGUGUUAGGAGUGCAUACAAAAUGAUUCAAAAUAGCAGGGAUAACUUAGUAGGGGAGAGUUCUACAAGCAGUAAACUUAAUAAGCUAUGGAAAGCAAUUUGGAAGAUGAAGCUACCAACUUGUUUAAAUUUGCUUCAGAAACAUGUGGAUAUUGAUCCAAAGUGCAAUUUGUGUACUCAGCAGAAUGAAGAUUUGGCACACGCUAUUGUGUACUGUUUUGAGUUGACUGAAAUAUGGAAGUGCUAUCUGGCUGCUCUGUUUGAUAUUCCAAGGCACUCUUUGUUAUAGAUCUGAUACAACAUUUGCAUAAUAAUUGUCCUGCAGAGAACUGUCGCAAAGUUUUAUCUCAGCAUAGAGGAAUAAAUCAGAUCAAGUAAUUAUGCAACUGGAGACCUCCACCAGUGGGUUUUCUCAAACUUAAUGUCGAUGGGGCUUUAUUUUUUGAUCAUAUGAAAGUUGGAAUUGGAGUUAUCGUACGGGAUAAGAGGGGAGAUGUCAUUCUUGCAGCAAGUAAGGUGGAACAUUAUAUUGAAGAUCCAGAAACGAUAGAAGUAGUGGCAAUGCUAAGAGGUUUAUAGUUGUGCCUUCAACAACUAUUAUUAGAGUCAAAUUGCAAGCUAUUAGUUGAUGAGUUACAAUACGAACUAGCUGUUUCUUCUUCAAGAUUAGGAAAUUUGGUUAUGGGGGUUAAAAGACUGAUGUCUUAUUUUGAUGUUUGUUCUUGUCAAUUCGUUAAUCGCAUGGGUAAUAGAGUUGCUCACAAACUUGCUAGACUAGUUUGGAAUGUUGAGGAUUUAGUUGUAUGGGGGGAUUAUGUACCUAAUCCUAUCCCCCAAGUUAUUUGGGCCGAUAAGAAUCUUUUGUAAUCC
Molecule: long non-coding RNA, 2853 nt
Organism: Carya illinoinensis
Lineage: Eukaryota; Viridiplantae; Streptophyta; Magnoliopsida; Fagales; Juglandaceae
Exons: 4
Source: RefSeq, a predicted model, not a curated record